AAUAUAAUGCAGCCAUGGUUAGUGACAAGCCUAAUUGAAAAAUGCAGAGUCUAUU
Molecule: non-coding RNA, 55 nt
Submitted as: unclassified sequences
Source: Rfam